RNAcentral lists this ribosomal RNA (333 nucleotides) under Triticum aestivum (bread wheat). RNAcentral describes it as "partial small subunit ribosomal RNA". Lineage: Eukaryota; Viridiplantae; Streptophyta; Magnoliopsida; Poales; Poaceae. The record is from RNAcentral.
AUGGGUUCCAGGGAGGAACCCAGGGCUCGCCUGAGGGAGGAUGUGUGGGACCCUGCGUUGCGGGUCACGGACGAGGAAAACGAGAACUUGAGCUUAGCCUUCCUCCCGGAGGAGAUUGACAAGGCCACGCUCGGUAUGAAAUCUGACACUGCGCCGGGGCCGGAUGGGUGGCCGGUGGCGAUGUUCAAGCGGUUUUGGCAAGUGCUCAAAAACCCCAUUUUUGACGUGUGCAAUGGUUUUAUGCGUGGUACGGUAGACAUUUCCCGCCUGAACUUUGGGGUUCUCUCUUUGAUCCCCAAGGUCCCGGGUGCGGAUCACAUUAGACUUUUUUGA